Molecule: unclassified non-coding RNA, 239 nt
Filed under: Hevea brasiliensis (rubber tree)
Lineage: Eukaryota; Viridiplantae; Streptophyta; Magnoliopsida; Malpighiales; Euphorbiaceae
Source: RNAcentral
AAUUUCCUUUUGACACAUAGUUCUAGUGAUGCAAGAGCCUGUGGGUCCCCAGGCCCCUCCUCAUCUAGAGGAAAAUCAUCCUUAAGGAGUCUUUUACCUAAACUAAGCUUCAAGUCUCGAAUNNNNNNNNUAACAUUAGAUGUUGAGAAGGCAGCCAAUCUACCUCCAGAUUCUUCCUGUACCAUGCCAAGGGAUAAACCGUCAAUCUCAAGGUCAUUAUCACUUACAAAGAUUUUCAC